Molecule: non-coding RNA, 580 nt
Organism: Arachis ipaensis
Lineage: Eukaryota; Viridiplantae; Streptophyta; Magnoliopsida; Fabales; Fabaceae
Source: RefSeq, a predicted model, not a curated record
UUUGGCCCAAAAAUUCUAAGCGUAUUAAGCAAAAGAGGUACAAGAAUCUACUUAAAGCAGCAGCAGCUGCAAAUUCUUCACAAGACAAGUCGGCAGCUUUAAAUGCACCACAAGUCAAGUCCGCAACAGCUGCAAAUUCCUCCUAAGACACAUUGGCAGCUACAAAUUUCUCCCGAGACAAGUUGGCAGCUUCAAAUUCCUCCCGGAAUGAGUCGGCAGCUUCAAAUUCCUCCCAGGACAAGUCGGCAGCAGCUGCAAGUUCCUCCCGGGACAAGUGGAUAGCAGCUGCAAGUUCCUCCCGAGACAAGUUGGCAGCAGCUGCAAGUUCAUCCUGAGACAAGUCGGCAGCUUCAAAUUCUUCUGAGCCAUCAUCAGUUGCUCCAACUAUAUCUGAGCAUCCAUCCGAACCUAAACGUAAACGUGGACGUGAAUCUAAACAUUAUUGGACUGUUGAUGCCAUAGAUGAAUACGAAGAUAGUAUACGCCUUGAUUUAUUAGCGAAGGAUGUGCAUAAUUUUCCAGAAGGUUUGCGCAUAGUUGUCAAUUUUGAUAAACAUCAUGCAGUAAUAGGAGAAGCAGC